CAAAACAUACCAGCCUGGUCCUCUCUUCCCAGAUCAGGGGUUCCUGCCUGUUGAAGCUUCCAUUUUAGAAGUGGAGGCGUGGGGAUUUGGCGGCUCUACGGCUAAGGAAAUUCAAAAUUCGUACAAAAAGAGAGAGGAACUUUUCACUGAGCAAAGAAGAAAGGUUGAUCUGAAAACAUUUGCCAGUUGGGAAGAUUCACCUGAGAAGAUGAUGCUAGACAUGAUGUCGGACCCAAAUGCUGUCCGACGAGAAG
Molecule: unclassified non-coding RNA, 254 nt
Filed under: Hevea brasiliensis (rubber tree)
Lineage: Eukaryota; Viridiplantae; Streptophyta; Magnoliopsida; Malpighiales; Euphorbiaceae
Source: RNAcentral